Molecule: transfer RNA, 66 nt
Filed under: Euoniticellus intermedius
Lineage: Eukaryota; Metazoa; Arthropoda; Insecta; Coleoptera; Scarabaeidae
Description: tRNA-Leu
Source: RNAcentral
AUUACUUUGACAGAAUAGUGUGUUAAAUUUAGAAUUUAUUUAUGUAUAUAGGUUAUACAAGUAAUA